Molecule: ribosomal RNA, 253 nt
Filed under: uncultured bacterium
Lineage: Bacteria
Description: partial 16S ribosomal RNA
Rfam family: Bacterial small subunit ribosomal RNA
Source: RNAcentral
UACGUAGGGACCAAGCGUUGUUCGGAUUUACUGGGCGUAAAGGGCGCGUAGGCGGCGUGUUAAGUCAGCUGUGAAAUCUCCAAGCUUAACUUGGAGCGGUCAGCUGAUACUGAUGUGCUAGAGUGCAGAAGGGGCAACCGGAAUUCUUGGUGUAGCGGUGAAAUGCGUAGAUAUCAAGAGGAACACCUGAGGUGAAGACGGGUUGCUGGGCUGACACUGACGCUGAGGCGCGAAAGCUAGGGUAGCAAACGGG